RNAcentral lists this ribosomal RNA (325 nucleotides) under uncultured eukaryote. RNAcentral describes it as "partial 18S ribosomal RNA". It matches the Rfam family "Eukaryotic small subunit ribosomal RNA", at positions 1470 to 1796 of the family's 1831-position model. The record is from RNAcentral.
CCCUUAGAUGUCCUGGGCCGCACGCGCGCUACGCUGAUGCAUUCAACGAGUAUUUCCUUGGCCGAGAGGCCUGGGCAAUCUUUUAAACCUGCAUCGUGAUAGGGAUAGAUUAUUGCAAUUAUUAAUCUUGAACGAGGAAUUCCUAGUAAACGCAAAUCAUCAAUUUGCAUUGAUUACGUCCCUGCCCUUUGUACACACCGCCCGUCGCACCUACCGAUUGAAUGGUCCGGUGAAAUCUCGGGAUUGUGGCCAGUUCACUUUAUUGGGAGUUGGCUGCGAGAACUUGCUUAAACCUUAUCAUUUAGAGGAAGGUGAAGUCGUAACA